This 468-nucleotide ribosomal RNA is filed under the name uncultured bacterium. RNAcentral describes it as "partial 16S ribosomal RNA". It matches the Rfam family "Bacterial small subunit ribosomal RNA", at positions 28 to 507 of the family's 1533-position model. The record is from RNAcentral.
GACGAACGCUGGCGGCGUGCUUAACACAUGCAAGUCGAACGGAAAGGCCCUGCUUUUGUGGGGUGCUCGAGUGGCGAACGGGUGAGUAACACGUGAGUAACCUGCCCUUGACUUUGGGAUAACUUCAGGAAACUGGGGCUAAUACCGGAUAGGAGCUCCUGCUGCAUGGGGGGGGUGGGAAGGUUUCGGCGGUGGGGGGUGGACUGUCGGCUUUUCAGCUGGUGGGGGGGGUAGUGGCUUACCAAGGCUUUGACGGGUAGCCGGCCUGAGAGGGUGACCGGCCACAUUGGGACUGAGAUACGGCCCAGACUCCUACGGGAGGCAGCAGUGGGGAAUAUUGCACAAUGGGCGGAAGCCUGAUGCAGCAACGCCGCGUGCGGGAUGACGGCCUUCGGGUUGUAAACCGCUUUCGCCUGUGACGAAGCGUGAGUGACGGUAAUGGGUAAAGAAGCACCGGCUAACUACGUG